Molecule: RNA transcript, 8364 nt
Organism: Hemicordylus capensis (graceful crag lizard)
Lineage: Eukaryota; Metazoa; Chordata; Lepidosauria; Squamata; Cordylidae
Gene: BAIAP2
Gene name: BAR/IMD domain containing adaptor protein 2
Exons: 17
Source: RefSeq, a predicted model, not a curated record
GGCCGGGGGCGGAUGGAGGCGGAGGCGGCUGCUGCUGUGGGAUGAGCCCGGUCCUGGGAGGCGGUAUAAAACGUCGCUCCUUUCCCUGCCGCGCCGCAACGUACUCGGAUCUUAGCAGCAGCCUUCUUCGCUGUCUCUCCUGCGCUCUCCGACGAGCUCUGUCCGGUUUAUGGUGCUGCCCGGAGCCCCCGGCAUCGUCAUGUCGCGCUCGGAGGAAGUGCACCGGAUCACCGAGAAUGUCUACAAGACUAUCAUGGAGCAGUUCAACCCCAGCCUCCGGAACUUCAUUUCCAUGGGGAAGAACUAUGAAAAAGCCUUGGCAGGUGUGACUUAUGCAGCAAAGGGAUACUUUGAUGCUCUGGUUAAAAUGGGGGAAUUGGCCAGUGAAAGCCAAGGAUCUAAGGAACUGGGGGAUGUUCUGUUCCAGAUGGCUGAAGUCCACAGACAGAUUCAGAAUCAGUUAGAAGAUAUGCUGAAGUCAUUCCAUAAUGAGCUACUAACACAACUGGAGCAGAAAGUGGAACUGGAUUCACGGUACCUGAGUGCUGCACUGAAGAAGUACCAGACUGAGCAAAGGAACAAGGGUGAUUCACUAGAGAAGUGCCAGGCUGAACUGAAGAAACUUCGGAAGAAGAGCCAAGGGAGCAAGAACCCUCAGAAGUAUUCUGACAAGGAACUGCAGUUCAUCGAAGCGAUCACCAACAAGCAAGGCGAGCUGGAGAACUACGUGUCUGAUGGCUACAAAACAGCACUCACUGAAGAGAGGCGGCGGUUCUGUUUCCUGGUGGAAAAGCAAUGUGCUGUGGCCAAAAAUGCCCUCACAUAUCAUUCAAAGGGGAAAGAUAUUUUGACACAGAAGCUCCCCGUAUGGCAGCAGUCUUGUGCUGAUCCCAACAAGAUUCCAGACCGUACUAUCCAGCUUAUGCAGCAGAUGGCCGUCAGCAGCAAUGGUACUAUCAUGCCUAGCCCUCUCUCGACAUCCAAGUCAAACCUCAUCAUCUCGGACCCUAUUCCUGGUGCCAAACCACUCCCAGUCCCACCAGAGCUGGCACCUUUUGUAGGCCGAAUGUCUGCACAAGAGACUAUUCCAGUGAUGAACGGUGUCUCGGGCUCAGAAAGUGAAGAUUACAACCACUGGGCGGACAGGAAGCCUGCUCAGCCCAAGUCUUUAUCCCCACCCCAGCCUCAGAAGCAACUGAGUGACUCUUACUCCAACACUCUCCCUGUGCGCAAGAACAUGCCUAAAAACAGCUACGCAGCCACAGAAAACAAGACGCUGCCCCGUUCCAGCUCCAUGGCAGCGGGGCUGGAGAAGAAUGGUAGGACAAGGGUACGAGCCAUCUUCUCUCAUGCCGCUGGGGAUAACAGCACCCUUCUGAGCUUCAAGGAGGGAGACCUCAUCACAUUGCUAGUACCUGAGGCCAGAGAUGGGUGGCACUACGGAGAGAGUGAGAAGACAAAAUUGAGAGGCUGGUUUCCUUUCUCUUACACACGUGUGUUGGACAGCGAUGGAACUGACAGGUUACACAUGAGCCAAGGGAAAAGCAGCAGUACGGGGAACCUGCUGGACAAAGAUGACAUCCCUCCUCCAGAUUACAGCAUGUCCUCCCGGGCUUUCCAGGCACAGAACGUCAGCACUUUCAAACAGAGGCCAUACAGCGUGGCAGUGCCAGCUUUUGCCCAGGAGUACCUUAUGCCCUACGGCUGUGCACUUAAUGAAUAUCCCAGUGGCCUCUGCCAACUGCUACCUGCUUUCUACCAGCCUUAUCCUAGGUCAACAGCCGGCAUGGAUGACUAUGGGGCAAGACCCUCAAGCAGUGCUGAUGUUGAAGUGGCCAGGUUUUGAGAUGUGUCCCUGACUGUGUAUAGUUUGGGACUUUUAAUACCAGCCUGAAACUUGAAGGUACUCAAAGAAUCCGUUUGCCAACGUCCAGCUCAAGCCAACUGUGACCAAUGAUCGUUCAGCUCCUCUCAUCAGCUGAUCCUGGGGUUGUUGGGCAACAGCGAAUACCUCGCACUUUUUCUUCAGUUUUGCCUCUGUUCAGUGUUUCUAUGGUGUCCUUGUAAAAUCAAAAUGUCUGUCUUCCUACAGCUCUGGUUUUGUAGCUAGGUUACAUAUAAGCCUCUUGCUUGAAAAGCACAUGUUGGCACACUCGUUUUGUUUUUAAUUUUUUGCUCUUUAAAACAGAAGAGAUGCCUCGUCCUUGGAAGGAUGGGUAUCUUGAAGAUUGCAUAGCAUGUCUGUUCUGAACAGAGAAAUAGGUAGAACUAUGAACCAGACCUUGCAUUCUCUGCUUGUACUAUUUAUAGGCCAUGCUCAAUGUCUUCUAAUUAGUCAGAAAAGGCUAGUGUGAGCAGGAUGAAACUUGCUACUUUGCAAUGUCCUAUUUGCCACUUAGAAUUCCUCCCGGGAAGUUCUCUCUGUCAGCACCAUCAGAACAUAUGGAUAUGAAUAAACGGAACCUGUGGAUGUCAAGAAAGGCUUUGCUGCCGCCCAAGGGUUGCAAGACUGCGAAGUCUAACAGCUCCCAAUCCCUCAUGCAAUUCACACCGCCUCUACUGCACAGUUCUACUGCCAGAGGAACAACUGUAUGGACUGAAAUGGCUGAGGGCUUUGAGGGUAAUGCAUCACCUGCACAUCCUUCUCAUGCUGGGCUUUCACUAACCCCAAAGAAAUGAAGUAAAGGCAGUAAUCUGGCAAGGCAGUCAUCCUGUGGCUGAUGGCUGCUGUGCAAAGAGCAUAACCUGUGGUAUGUGUGAAGCAGGAAAAUAUCCUGUGCUGCUAUUGACUGAGCACCUGUCCCUUCUCACUCACACUUCUUGCUGAUUGACUAGCUAGGAGAGGAAUCCCAACAGUUAAAAAGCUAGCUUAAUCUCUCCCCAGAACUCCUCUUGCAGGCCAGUUCCUGCUUGAUGCAGUGUUUUUGGGUCCCAAGCUGUGGAACAAAGCUGACUCAGAUGUCCCAGAACCUAAUAUUACAGGUCAAUCCCAUUCUGAAAAGUCCUGGUUCUGUGACUGAAACAAGACUGUGUUCUUCCUUUCUUUACAAUCUUUUAGUCAGGUAGAUAUUAAUGCAUCCCAAAAGCAGUUUUAUGCACACUCAGGCCAGCUGAGGCUCAAAAUUUCCACAAGCAGAGCACACACACAGAGCUGUAGAGCUACUGCUCAUUUUGAAGUCAUUGCAUGAAAAUGAGAUUGCUUCUGUUGAAAGGCAACUUGGUCAUUUUAUUAGGUGAUCACUGUCUCAUCCUUAAAGUUAUCCAGCGAUAGGUCAACCACCAUGGCCUGUUCUAAUCUCAACCAAAAGAACUAGAGGGCCAAAUCUGGAAUACACACAUGGACCUCUGAUUGUAUUUCCUCAUGAUUAAAAAAUAAAAAAAUCCAAGAAGUCACAGGUAGCUUCAGGUUGAGGGGAGGACCAACUGGUGGGCUAGGAGGGGAGGUGGCUUACUCAUUUUGUUGAUAUUUAUUUGUUCAAAAAUCAGUUCCCAGUUGCUGUUCUCUAACAUAAUGAAAACGUAUGGAGUCCCACCAUGCCCCCAGGGAAGGAAAGCUGCAGCCCAACACCUGCUGAUCCUGCUCAAGCUGAAGCUCUCUCUGGCUGCUGCUUGAAAAACAAAUAAAUCCUAGAACCACCUGGAAUGUGUAGUCUGGCCAUCAAAUGCAACAGGUGCACAAAACUCCAGCAGACCUCAUGAUGGAAAAGUUCAGUGUCUUUCCUCUGUGAAAGGCUGCAAAAGGUUGAUGGUACCCUGUAGUAGCCUAGUUUGUAGGCAGAUGGGACCUCUCUGGUAUUCUACUGAUAAAACACAUUAGCUAGAUCACAGAUAAAUGUAUAAUUGCUUGAAUUUUUAUUUAAGCAUAGUUACCUACUAAUGUGCCUCCACAAAGUGGCAACGCAAGCCAGAUACAUAUGUCAAUGUCUAUAUUUUUAUAUAAAGGAAAUAUUUUAGCUACUAAUCCAUUAUUGAAAAGUGCCAGUGUAGAAUUUUCAGCAUGAAAGGGGUACAAUCCAGCAAGAGCUGCAAGCCUAGGCAUGGUUCUUGGAAGGUUAAAUCUCAUUGAACGCUAUGGACUUUACUUUUACAUAAAUAUGGAUGUGCUCAGGCUGCAGUUAUCUACUGUCUUGCUGGUUUGUGCCCUGCAUCUAUUUACUUUCUUUCCUCAUUUUUCUUCCUAUUGCUUGAUAAUAAUCUCAGGGGCUUUGUUCACAGGGGUGUUAGGUGAUCUCUCAAUGGGGUUUUAUAUAUUUGAAGAAACCAUUGACCUAAGGUUAAGCUCAUAUUCCCUGAAGAGUUUUUGCUAGACCUUUUAAAAACAAAAGGAUGUUUAGCUGGUUACUAUUUAGUAAUAUUCCACCACUGUGCAGUGUUUGAAAAGGGGCUUGCUGCAGGCUGGUACAAGCAUGGUCACCACUAUUUCAUGUCAACUAAUCUGUGGGAGAGGUGAACGCCAGUCUGGGGAUCACAAAAUGAAAGGAAGGGGAAAGUUGUGCCUGUGCCAGGAUUUCCUCCCCUUCCCUGAAGCACACACAGUACCAAUAGGGGCCCCUCUCUGCUUAUCAAGAUCAUCAUAUCAUGAAGAAGAAGAGAAACUCCACCCUUGGUUUAGAUGAGGUUAAGGUGCGGUAAUGGGUGCUGUAUAUGCUUUCAUGCCUCCCUCAGCACACACCCACAUCCACCCACCCUUUUACAAACCUGGAUCGUCCUCCCUUUUUCCUUUUCCUGUCAUAAUUUUGCUUAGAACUCAUAAGAGCCCCUGGUGGCGCAGUGGUAAAACUGCCGCCCUGUAACCAGAAGGUUACAAGUUCGAUCCUGACCAGGGGCUCAAGGUUGACUCAGCCUUCCAUCCUUCCGAGGUCAGUAAAAUGAGUACCCAGAAUGUUGGGGGGCAAUAUGCUAAAUCAUUGUAAACCGCUUAGAGAGCUUCCAGCUAUAGAGCGGUAUAUAAAUGUAAGUGCUAUUGCUAAGUGCUCUUUCCGUUUUCACUCAUAUGCUCUCAAAAGCAUGGAAGUUGCUUUAGGGAGUCCACCUUAAUUUCCGCCGUCAUUUAAGUUGUAAAGACUUUGACAGUCUCAUCUGUUAUGCUGGCUUUACUAACUCGAACAUGUACAAAUUAAGCUCCAUGCACCCUCACUUUGCCUUGAUCAUUUAGCUUAACAUUGGGCUGGCAAGGGCUGGGUCCAGGCAGACAUUCAAUAGGUGUAGUUUCCCCACCUUUGCUACAGUGUCCCUAAUUUCUGCAUUGGGAGAAAUAAAAUGGCUGUUAGCAGAGGUUGAGGACACGAGCACAGCCUUAAGCCCGACACCGGGAUAGUAUGAGUGCUUGGGCUGCUUACACCCCCAGUGCAUACAGAGAUGGGUGUAUAGCGUGCCCAUUUCACGGGAGUAUCCCCCAAUGCACUGGGCUCUUUGUGUGGUGCAUUGUGAAAUAUGUGGAAUGGGACGCAUCAUCCUGGCCUCUGGAGAUCCAUGCUGUGUGCAGCAGCACAGAUUGUGUGGGAAUGUGGUCUGCACUUCCUACCAACAUUGCAGAACCAUCUGGCAGUGGGGGAGGUAAAAUAGUAGAGUUCCAUUAUUGUGGAAUCAUCUUGGGGGAGAGGAGGUAAAAAUUGCAUUCUUUAGCAGGGUGUCAGUGCAGGAAAAGGGGGUUAACUAUGUAAGCAUUGUCCAUGUUUUAAGAGAUGCAUAGUUCUGCUUGAACACAGGGGCGUAACUAUAAUAGGGCAAGGGGAGACAGUUGUCCAGGGGCCCACUGCCUUAGGGAGCCCCCCAGAGGCAAGUCAUAUGACUGACUCUCCCAGUUGUGCACCCGCCAGGGCUUUCUCCAGUUGUAUUCAUCCUCCAAAAUUUAUGUGAGUGUUAAGACCUGGAGCUACCAGAACAGCAUGUCUUUCUCUAGUACCAUUAAAUGGCUUGCAUUGUCCACAAUUUACAAAACCUUUUAAAAAAUAAUUUAGGAUGAUGUUCUAUUGUGGCACAUACUAUUCAGCCUCAUUUAAGAUUUCUUUGCUUCAUGAGCUGAGCUUCAGUGAGGAGGGCUCCAUUUCAAAAUCUUGUCUCUGGGUCCACUCCAACCUUGCUACACCCCUGCUUGAACAAGUACAGUAGGUAAGUGCUAAGCUGCCCGCCCCUCAGCAACACCCCACCCCCCGAAAACAAACUACUUCAGCCAUGUUCAAAGUGGUGUUUGUCUUGUUAAACUGGGAAGAGACACACAACCACCUUCCAUGGCGUGUUCAUGGCCACACUGUACAUACUACCUGUGAGAAAAGAUGUCUAGAUUCCUAGUAACAAGUAUUUAUGUAUGGCAUCUGUGGUUUUGGUUACUAGAUUCCUAGUUUGGUUACUAGAUUCCUAGUAACAAGUAUUUAUGUAUGGCAUCUGUGGUUUGUGCCUCAUUACUUGGUCAGUAGCUUUCCAAAUUAACAAUAUUUCAAUGCCGUGUAGGCUUCAGCGCAGAGGCAUACCUUGUGAUUAAGGCUUAAGCACCGCCUGUGCCUCAGGCCCCCAUUUCUGGUGUUAAUGUGAUAGACAAAGGUAAAGUGUGCCAUCAAGUCGGUGUCGACUCCUGGCGCCCACAGAGCCCUGUGGUUGUCUUUGGUAGAAUACAGGAGGGGUUUACCAUUGCCAUCUCCCGCACAGUAUGAUAUGAUGCCUUUAGCAGACUGCAAAUCUUCCACUUGCCGUUUAAAACGAGUAAUUUGUUUAUGGGCUGGUAACAGCAAAUCUGUUCUUCAGAAUAAAAAGGAACUGCCAGUCAGCUAGUCUGGAGUUAAUUUCAUAACAAGUGAAACUGUCCUGGGACUUCUCGACAUUCACACUAAAAGACGAGACAGGAGGGUGACAUGUUAUCGAUCAGCAACCACCACUGCUCCCACCUCUUCACAGGUGGCUCUUAGUGAAGUAAAAUAGAACAAGCCACCGAGCAAUGCAAUGUUUGUUUUGAUUGUAUAUUAUCAUUGAAGAGGGAGAAACAAAAAGCACUUGCCUGGAAGACAGUGUAGAAGUAUUUUGUUAAUACUAGCUGCUCACAAGCCCUGUGGCCUCACCACUGUGCUGGCUCGAAGACUUGUCCAUGGAUGUCUUAAGGACUAAUGCUCCAGAUUUCUGCAUUUCAUCUUCAAAAGGUGCCCUCCGCACUUUCUGUCUUUUUGUUGCUACUGGCUAUCACACCUACAUUUUGUUAAUUCUGUAAUGCAUUUUGUAAAUUAAAAACUUAGCCUGAUUCCCGUUGCAUAAUACAGGUUUCCCCCCCUUUAUUUCUUAGACCAUGUCGGAAGAAGAAAAUUUUUUAAAGGGUAACUUGGAAAGGAUGGUUUCCGGUGUCAAAAGACCAGGAAUAGAAAUAUUUUGCUUUUGUGUUGUACCACAUCACUAAGGGAAGAGUGGUGUCUUAUGCCUGCUCCACGCUCAGAUUAACAAGAGGGCUGAGGUUUAGUUGCCCAGUCCAACUGGGGAAGAGGGUAAUAUUUUAUUCUCUUCUCUUUAGUGGUGGCUAAGAGGCCUCCAGUCAAGAAGGGCCCCUGUACUCGGCAACAAUCCCUAAUCCAGUUGAACCCUAUGCAACAAGUCCACCUUUUCAAGCCAUGGGGCUUACAGAAACAAAGUAUAUCUGAUGACUGUUAAGCAGCAAUACACAAGCCUAAUCAAUCUGCUCUAGGAACUUUGGGGGCGGGGGUUUCACUUCUUCCACCUCCCCAACAUACUAUUAAAUAGCAUUUAGGAAGAGUACUAGUGAGGAUGCAGAAAGGCUACAAAUCUUGAAAUUCUCACUCACUCACUCACUCAUACCCCUGUUAUAAUUCAGGACAGUAUGCACCAGCUGCAACUAGAACCCACUCCCUGUUUUAAUUCAGUCACUACCAUCCACAAAAGCGAGACUGAAUCUUAGAAUGCAACUAAAAGUGAUUCUUCGAAGUGACUAGAAAACCAUCUCAUUGGACUUGGCACCUCUUUCUGAACACAAAGUUCCUGUACCUUAAAGAUGACAGAAAACCCCAGCAGGUACAACUUUUUCUGCAUCUCCCAAUGUGUCCUGUGUCAUACAAGUCACAGAGGCACUUCUUUGUCAAAGAGCAAUUGACAACCCUACAUCCCAGUCACUAUCGCAAGGCAGGCACAUCCACCAACUAUCACGGCUCCUAGGUCAACCUACACAAUCCACUCUUUCGAUAUAUUGUGCUGGCUAGGAGGCAUAGAUGAGUAGGCAAAGAUUACAUUAUUUUAAAAACUUUUAUUAUUAUUUGUUAUAUUUGGACCAAUGGUAUUUGACACACAUGCUGGGAGCUGUAUGGAAAUCGGCACUGAUAAAAAAUACAGCAAUUAUGACCCGUAUCAAUAAAAUAUACACUGUAAAUAGCC